GACGAACGCUGGCGGCGUGCUUAACACAUGCAAGUCGAACGGAAAGGCCCUGCUUUUGUGGGGUGCUCGAGUGGCUAACGGGUGAGUAACACGUGAGUAACCUGCCCUUGACUUUGGGAUAACUUCAGCAAACUGGGUCUAAUACCGGCUAGGAGCUCCUGCUGCAUGGUGGGGGUUGGAAAGUUUCGGCGGUUGGGGAUGGACUCGCGGCUUAUCAGAUUGUUGGUGGGGUAGUGGCUUACCAAGGCUUUGACGGGUAGCCGGCCUGAGAGGGUGACCGGCCACAUUGGGACUGAGAUACGGCACAGACUCCUACGGGAGGCAGCAGUGGGGAAUAUUGUACAAUGGGCGGAAGCCUGAUGCAGCAACGCCGCGUGCGGGAUGACGGCAUUCGGGUUGUAAACCGCUUUCGCCUGUGACGAAGCGUGAGUGACGGUAAUGGGUAAAGAAGCACCGGCUAACUACGUG
RNAcentral lists this ribosomal RNA (468 nucleotides) under uncultured bacterium. RNAcentral's name for it is "partial 16S ribosomal RNA". It matches the Rfam family "Bacterial small subunit ribosomal RNA", at positions 28 to 507 of the family's 1533-position model. The record is from RNAcentral.